GAGGGAGAGCCCGACCAUUUUGAAUGAAUUUAGUGAGCUCACUUCCUCUCGGCUUGCUAUUUUCCCCCUCGGUCGCAGGAUUUUUUUUUUGUGUGUGUUCUCAAUCGCUUUCCAUUCGUAGGGAGCUAAGAAGGAGAGAAAGAGAGGGAGGGAGCCAUUACGAGGUUGCUAACCGACACGACCGGGAGGCUCGGCACACACUUGGGCCCGAUCUCAGCCAGACCUGCAGAAGAUUACGAGGCCGCUAGGAGCUUUUCCCCCCCGCUGCUGCAAACGCAUUUUUUAAUCCUAUUUUUAUUCCUCCUCCUCCUCCCCAAGACUGUAAACGCAGCAGACACAAUAGUAAACAAAAUGGAGAACGAAAGCAAAUAUCUCCCCGAGUUGCUGGCGGAGAAGGACAGUCUGGAUUCCUCCUUCACUCACGCCAUGAAACUGGUGUCCACAGAAAUUGAAAGGAUUCAGAAAGGCGAACCGAAGAAAGAAGACGAAGACGCUUAUCUGGACCUGUUCUCGCACAAGAACGUCAAACUGAAGGAAAGAGUCCUCAUCCCAGUCAAACAGUAUCCAAAGUUUAACUUUGUCGGGAAGAUUCUGGGACCCCAAGGAAACACGAUCAAACGGCUACAGGAAGAGACGGGAGCGAAGAUCUCUGUCCUGGGAAAAGGCUCCAUGAGGGAUAAAGUGAAGGAGGAGGAGCUGCGGAAGGGAGGGGAGCCCAAGUACGCCCACCUGUCCAUGGAGCUGCACGUCUUCAUCGAAGUGUUCGCCCCCGUGCCCGAGGCCUACCUCCGCAUGGCGCACGCCAUGGAGGAAGUCAAGAAGUUCCUCAUUCCUCAGGACAUGAUGGAUGACAUUUGUCAGGAGCAGUUCAUGGAGAUGUCCUACCUGAAUGGAGGACAGGAGCCGGGGGUCCGGGGCAGAGGAGGCCCCCCUGUCAGGGGGCGUGGCGCGCCCCCCCCUCCCACUCCAGCCGCCAGGGGUCGGGGGAUCCCACCGCGCGGAGCGGCGCCCCGCGGGGGCCCGGCGAGAGGAGCCACUGUGAGGGGCGCGCCAGCAGGGCGAGGGGUGCCCCCAGCGCAGCCUGUCCGAGGGGGCGCCCCCGCUGCCCGCAGCAGGCCGCCUGCCCCGGGCGUGCAGAGAAUGCCCCUGCCCCACCCACCUGCCCCGGAGCCCUAUGAAGAAUACGCCUAUGAAGACAGCUACGCUGAGCCCACUUAUGAAGCUUAUGAUUAUUACAGUCAACCCCAGGCAGACACAGAAUACUACGAUUAUGGCCACGGGGAGGCCCAGGACACAUACGAGCCUUACGGUCAGGAUGACUGGAAUGGAACAAGAGCGGCCCCCAAGCUGCCUUCCGCAAGAACUGUUAAAGGGCCCUACAGGGAUCACCCCUAUGGGAGAUACUGAAGGGGCCAGAUCAAGUUUGAAUAAGCACAUUGCUCACUGACAUCUGUCUCCCGUGGCCUCUGUCGCUUUAAAGAACCAGACAAAAAGGAGUUAAAAAAAUUAUCACACAAAACUAGAAGAACUGCUUAGAAUCUGGAGUACAGCCUUCACUCAGGGACGCUCAGCACAAACCCUAAAAAGAAGAGGACGCCCUUAAGCCUCUCGAAGUCUGAGAAGCGAUGCGCCUUCCUUAAGGAAGAACCCAGCCUUUGCACGGGCCAGAGAGCUGUGCCUCUGACGACUACAGCGGAGAGCCAGAAAGACAUGCAUUUGUAAAAACUCCUUGCAUACCUUCAGAGCAUGAUGGCAAGGUUGGGGGGGGAAUUGACAGCAUUGUACCUUCCCCCAGGGCACAGGGCAUUCUGCUAACUGGCCGGUCCAGGGUGUGUGAGUGGGCUUGGAAGGCUGAGUGGCUGACUGCUUGAUGCCACUCACAAGGUGACGAUGGUGAACAGUUGAAUACUUGCCUGUCAUUGUGUGGCCCGAAACUUUUGAGCUAAUUCUGGAGCAGGUUUUUAAAAAGGCUCCUGUGUCCUUACUGGCACAAGGGUGUUGGAUCUGUGCUACACACGGCCAGACAGCCAUCAAGGCUGGCCAGCUCCCCCGGACUGUGACGAAGGGCGUUGCCAGUGGCUCUGAGCCCUUCUGGUUCGAGGUACCUGCAGGCAGUAUCGCUGGCCUUACUGUCUUGACUCAAGCAGGGGAAACGAUCUCACUUUGGAACGCUUUCGUUCCUCUGCUGUGUAUUUAAUAGCCUUCAUCAGGAUAAAGUUCUUUUUGCCAGCCAAGCACUUUUUCCCUGUUUCUUCUGCAGGAGGGUAUACUUAAGAUUAAUUUCCCUGCCAGCCCGGUCCAUUUUUGUGUUUCCCUGUUUUUUGUUGCGUGGAAAUUAAUUGCUGCGAUUUUGCUUUGUUUUGAAUCGUAGGAAGGCCCUUGAAUGAAUAAAUACUGCUCAUCUGGAGCACACUGUCACACCUUUUUAGCACAAAGCAUUUGUAAAAAGGCUGCAGUUCUGUACCACGUCUGCACGCUAGUAUACAGCAGUGCCAUACAGACUAGUGAGCUACCAUGUUUUUGACAGUCUAUUUUUCAGUUGAGUCCCUUUAGACUCCUUAUUUUACAAUCAAGUUAAGCCGGUUACCUUUCGGAUGAGAAGCGAGAGAAACUGCGUAGUAUGGUGAGAAGUUUCCUGUAAGGGUUUGUCAGCUUUUCUCCAAAAAAAUAAUUCGGAGAACAAAUGUACUUCCUGCCAAUUAUACUGACAGAAUCCAUUUGUAUUGAGAGGUGGUACUGAUUGCAUUGUCUGAAAAUGGGACCCUGCAGUAUUAUAUUAACUGCAAAAUGGCUUAUUGGUACAGAUUUAAUAAGCAUUAGCUUCCAUUGAAGCUCCAUUAAACAUUUGGAAAAUGAGGCUGCAAUCCAUGGUAAGUGGAAAUGUAAUGUAAAAUCCCAAAAGCAGAAAAUGGAAAAUUCCAUUAAUUUUGCACUCCUGCAAAAAAAAAAGAAAGUUUCCUGCACCAUGAUUAAUAUAAUGCAGAGCUGCAGUGUGAGGCAUUCUGCUUUAAUACACUAAAAGCCAAAUCCGUUUAAAUGUUAUUUAUAGCAUUUGAAAGCAAUUUUGGUGCACUGAACUUCUAACCCAGUUGGUAAAUGCAUGCUGUAUGUGAGAAAUGUCAUUUUGCUCAAUCAAUGCCGUUGCCUUCAAGUUGUACGGAUAUUGUGUGGAUUUCUAUCCUGCUGAUAUCCGUUUCAUAUACAUAGAAAGGGCUGCCGUUCUGUCAGUAAGAGACAAAGCACUUCCCUCCUGUUCCUGAGGUUAACUCUUGCGCAAUCUGUCUGCCAUCUGUACCCUGAUCCUCCCAGGCUCAUCAAAUCCCAAGUGGAUCAUCCUGUUCCAUGCAGUCAUGACUGGAAGGCUUUCAUGGUGCUUAUUAUGUAGGGUGCAAAAAACAAAACAAAAACAAUAACCCAGAUUAGAUCCCACCAGCUGUUGGUGCAGAAUUCGGCUGCGUGUCUUCCAGGCAGUGUCUCUUGAGUGCUGCCUUCCGGUCUCUCAUUACUGCGAGGUUCUGCCUUGGCUUCCCCGGGAACAGUGCCUGGCCUUGAAGGUGCAUUUGAUUAAGGUUAUUGGGACCAGCAGGGUUUGCAUGGACCUGUCAGAGCUGCUGUAAGGGCUCUAUAAACUUCAAUAUACAGCCGCUCUGGAAAAGUGUCCUGAAAGACUGCAACAUCCAUGUGGACUGUUUCAUUUCUAGAAGUCAUUUUCAAUGUGUUUGUGAUAAAAGAAUUUAUAAUAAAAUUUAAUAAAGGUGUAA
This is an RNA transcript of Lepisosteus oculatus (spotted gar), 3761 nucleotides long. It is a transcript of the gene named KH domain containing, RNA binding, signal transduction associated 1b, with no coding region annotated. The record is from RefSeq and is a predicted model, not a curated record. NCBI's taxonomy places the organism in Eukaryota, Metazoa, Chordata, Actinopteri, Semionotiformes, Lepisosteidae.